AACGAACGCUGGCGGCAUGCCUAACACAUGCAAGUCGAACGAGACCUUCGGGUCUAGUGGCGCACGGGUGCGUAACGCGUGGGAACCUGCACUUAGGUUCGGAAUAACUCCCCGAAAGGGGUGCUAAUACCGGAUAAUGUCUUCGGACCAAAGAUUUAUCGCAUUUGGAUGGGCCCGCGUUGGAUUAGGUAGUUGGUAGGGUAAAAGCCUACCAAGGCGACGAUCCAUAGCUGGUCUGAGAGGAUGAUCAGCCACACUGGGACUGAGACACGGCCCAGACUCCUACGGGAGGCAGCAGUGGGGAAUAUUGGACAAUGGGCGAAAGCCUGAUCCAGCAAUGCCGCGUGAGUGAUGAAGGCCUUAGGGUUGUAAAGCUCUUUUACCCGGGAUGAUAAUGACAGUACCGGGAGAAUAAGCUCCGGCUAACUCCGUG
RNAcentral lists this ribosomal RNA (433 nucleotides) under uncultured bacterium. RNAcentral describes it as "partial 16S ribosomal RNA". It matches the Rfam family "Bacterial small subunit ribosomal RNA", at positions 29 to 507 of the family's 1533-position model. The record is from RNAcentral.